AGUCAUAGUGGCUGACAUCUAUUAUGCACCUUCUGCAUGUUAUGUGCUUUGUUUUGGAUUCUACAGGGCACAAAAGUGCAUUGAAGUGGCUUACAAGGCUGGGGGCAAGGGACAUCCCUGUCCCCAGCUUGCUACAGAGUUUGUCCACCACAGAGCUCCUUGUCUUUAAUGUGCUGUGAACCAAGAGGCUGCAUCCCUUGUCAACCCAACCUGAAGAAAGGAUUUCAAAAAGCAAGACUUAAUUAUGUGGAGCGUUCUCAGUCACUGAAUCACCAGCAUUUCCUGACACUUGACUCUCAUGCAUUUUAGCAAAAGAUUAACCUGGCUGUUUGCUUUUAAUUCUGAAGCUGUGUUAACACCCAGCUCCCUCUAGAUUAGACAGGAAGAAAAACACAUGCCGCACACCCCACCUGGCGCCACAGGCCCCUGGGCCGAAGUUCUAGCCAUGCCGCACUCCCUAGGGUUGGCUGCACUUACCAUU
This is a long non-coding RNA of Peromyscus leucopus (white-footed mouse), 481 nucleotides long. RefSeq lists it as uncharacterized. The transcript is spliced from 3 exons. The record is from RefSeq and is a predicted model, not a curated record. NCBI's taxonomy places the organism in Eukaryota, Metazoa, Chordata, Mammalia, Rodentia, Cricetidae.